AAGUCGUAACAAGGUUUCCGUAGGUGAACCUGCGGAAGGAUCAUUAUCAUAAUCCGAAACUUUUUUUAAUAUUCGAAAGGAUAUUAAAAAAUAUCAACCAACCGUGAACUGUUUGCCUCCAAUAGGGGAAAAGAACGGGUUCUUUUUGGAGCCUUUAGUAUUUUCUUUUAUUGGUUGUAUUUUUAUAAUAAUUUUAUUAUUAUUAUUAUUAACCCUUCUAACAAAAACAUUUUAAACUUAAUUCUGAACUGAAUUAAUUUUCUUUUUUUCCUUUCGGGGGAAAAAUUAAAAUAAAAAUACGAAAAAUUAUAAGAACAACUCUUAGCAACGGAUAUCUUGGUUCUC
This 345-nucleotide unclassified non-coding RNA is filed under the name fungal sp. RNAcentral's name for it is "partial internal transcribed spacer region". The stretch from base 1 to 46 matches the Rfam family "Eukaryotic small subunit ribosomal RNA", at positions 1786 to 1831 of the family's 1831-position model. Lineage: Eukaryota; Fungi. The record is from RNAcentral.